Molecule: ribosomal RNA, 830 nt
Filed under: Bacillus smithii
Lineage: Bacteria; Bacillati; Bacillota; Bacilli; Caryophanales; Bacillaceae
Description: bacterial SSU rRNA
Rfam family: Bacterial small subunit ribosomal RNA (bases 1-689)
Source: RNAcentral
AACUGAGAUGCUCCGGUAACCGGAGCUAAUACCGGAUAACAUUUUCUCUUGCAUGAAGAGAACAUUGAAAGAUGGUUUCGGCUAUCACUUACAGAUGGGCCCGCGGUGCAUUAGCUAGUUGGUGAGGUAACGGCUCACCAAGGCAACGAUGCAUAGCCGACCUGAGAGGGUGAUCGGCCACACUGGGACUGAGACACGGCCCAGACUCCUACGGGAGGCAGCAGUAGGGAAUCUUCCGCAAUGGACGAAAGUCUGACGGAGCAACGCCGCGUGAGUGAUGAAGGCUUUCGGGUCGUAAAACUCUGUUGUUAGGGAAGAACAAGUACAAGAGUAACUGCUUGUACCUUGACGGUACCUAACCAGAAAGCCACGGCUAACUACGUGCCAGCAGCCGCGGUAAUACGUAGGUGGCAAGCGUUAUCCGGAAUUAUUGGGCGUAAAGCGCGCGCAGGCGGUUUCUUAAGUCUGAUGUGAAAGCCCACGGCUCAACCGUGGAGGGUCAUUGGAAACUGGGGAACUUGAGUGCAGAAGAGAAAGCGGAUCCCGUGUAGCGUGAAUGCGUAAGAUGUGGAGACCCAGUGCAGGCGCUUUGGUUUACGACCGAGCCAGCUGGACACAGAUAGAUCCUGUAUCCCGAACAUAUCAGGUAAGUUCGCUUAUCGCGUACCUAGCUGCGGAUCGUCAAUACUAGAUACGGCGCACGGACUGUAUCACACAACUCGUGCUCUCCUAUACUCCGCAUAGUCGUUUCGUGAUGUUCACCAUUCUUCUGUGACAGAUUUCUGCCUGUGAGCUCUUUAUUGUAAAAAUUUNNNCGAUGGUCCCCUAGA